This 557-nucleotide ribosomal RNA is filed under the name uncultured bacterium. RNAcentral describes it as "partial 16S ribosomal RNA". It matches the Rfam family "Bacterial small subunit ribosomal RNA", at positions 354 to 932 of the family's 1533-position model. The record is from RNAcentral.
UGGGGGAAUAUUGCACAAUGGGCGAAAGCCUGAUGCAGCAACGCCGCGUGAGUGAUGAAGGCCUUCGGGUUGUAAAGCUCUGUCUUUUGGGACGAUAAUGACGGUACCAAAGGAGGAAGCCACGGCUAACUACGUGCCAGCAGCCGCGGUAAUACGUAGGUGGCAAGCGUUGUCCGCAUUUACUGGGCGUAAAGGAUGCGUAGGCGGAUUUUUAAGUGAGAUGUGAAAACCCUAAGCUUAACUUGGGGACUGCAUUUCAUACUGGAAAUCUAGAGUGCGGGAGAGGAGAAUGGAAUUCCUAGUGUAGCGGUGAAAUGCGUAGAGAUUAGGAAGAACACCAGUGGCGAAGGCGAUUCUCUGGACCGUAACUGACGCUGAGGCAUGAAAGCGUGGGUAGCAAACAGGAUUAGAUACCCUGGUAGUCCACGCCGUAAACGAUGAGUACUAGGUGUAGGAGGUAUCGACCCCUUCUGUGCCGCAGUUAACACAAUAAGUACUCCGCCUGGGAAGUACGAUCGCAAGAUUAAAACUCAAAUGAAUUGACGGGGUCAUAGCUG